RNAcentral lists this ribosomal RNA (210 nucleotides) under Triticum aestivum (bread wheat). RNAcentral's name for it is "partial small subunit ribosomal RNA". Lineage: Eukaryota; Viridiplantae; Streptophyta; Magnoliopsida; Poales; Poaceae. The record is from RNAcentral.
AUGAUGCAUUCAAAGAAGCUUGCUCAACUUGCCAAGAAGUGCAAGAGGCUGGUGGCAGCUGGUGGGCAGCAGACUGCAGACACCGACGGAUGCUGCAGCACUGCUUCUGUUGCAGACAGGGGCCACUGUGUCAUGUACACUGUUGAUGGAUCACGGUUCGAGGUCCCUUUGGUGUGUACCUUGGCACAAUGGUCUUUGGUGAGCUCCUGA